RNAcentral lists this ribosomal RNA (253 nucleotides) under uncultured bacterium. RNAcentral describes it as "partial 16S ribosomal RNA". It matches the Rfam family "Bacterial small subunit ribosomal RNA", at positions 524 to 776 of the family's 1533-position model. The record is from RNAcentral.
UACGAAGGGGGCGAGCGUUAUUCGGAAUCACUGGGCGUAAAGCGUGCGUAGGCGGUCUUCUAAGUCAGGAGUGAAAGCCCGGGGCUCAACCCCGGAAUUGCUCUUGAAACUGGAAGGCUAGAAUUUGGGAGAGGAUAGCGGAAUUCUCAGUGUAGCAGUGAAAUGCGUAGAUAUUGAGAGGAACACCGGUGGCGUAAGCGGCUAUCUGGACCAACAUUGACGCUGAGGCACGAAAGCGUGGGGAUCAAACAGG